CUACGGGAUGCACCAGCAAGGAAUAUUGGGCAAUGGGCGAAAGCCUGACCCAGCGACGCCGCGUGAGGGAUGAAGGGCUUCGGUUCGUAAACCUCUUUUCCCAGGGAUGAAUAAUGACAGUACCUGGGGAAUAAGUCACGUGCUAACUACGUGCCAGCAGCCGCGGUAAAACGUAGGUGGCGAGCGUUAUCCGGAUUUACUGGGCGUAAAGUGGGCGUAGGCGGCUCUUCAAGUCAGGUGUAAAAUCUCCCGGCUCAACUGGGAGGCACCAUUUGAUACUGUUGAGCUUGAGGACAGCAGAGGGAGGUAGAAUUCCCGGUGUAGUGGUGGAAUGCGUAGAUAUCGGGAGGAAUACCAGUGGCGAAAGCGGCCUCCUAGGCUGUUUCUGACGCUGUUGCCCGAAAGCGUGGGGAGCAAACAGGAUUAGAUACCCUAGUAGUC
Molecule: ribosomal RNA, 441 nt
Filed under: uncultured bacterium
Lineage: Bacteria
Description: partial 16S ribosomal RNA
Rfam family: Bacterial small subunit ribosomal RNA
Source: RNAcentral